Long non-coding RNA from Populus euphratica (Euphrates poplar), 478 nucleotides. RefSeq lists it as uncharacterized. The transcript has 3 exons. Lineage: Eukaryota; Viridiplantae; Streptophyta; Magnoliopsida; Malpighiales; Salicaceae. The record is from RefSeq and is a predicted model, not a curated record.
UAGGAAGAAAAGAAAACAAAAGAACAAAAGAGGGAGCUGUGGUUUUUUGAGAGCAAACGUAAGAGAGGGAGAAGGAAGAAGAAGAAGAGAAAAGAGGGGAAAAGAAGGGAAAGGGAAGAGAUUGAGAAGAAAUAACUUUAAAGGUUCUCCUAACGAUCCUCAAUAGGAUUUUCGGGUCUUUCGUCUGACGUUCCUUUAGUUCUAUAUUUUCCGGGUUCUUAGUUUCUGAUAGCAGUUGGACUUUGUUGAGUGUUUCUGCUUCUUCAGUUUUGGGUCGGUAUGCCUUGCUUAUUGUUCAAGGUUGUUUUGAUUUGAAGUCUUAGACGCUCCACUAUUACUCUGUUUUAAUUAAGUUUGGAUUUUGACAAUGUAAUGAGUAUUAUGAAUUAUUAUUUUGUUUUAAUUACUGAUGAAGAGUUUUGACUAUCCUUUGAUUUCAUCAGCUUUGAGUAAUAUAAUAUUUCUGAAGAUUAUGAAA